UGACAAACGAGGUUGUAAAUGCCUGUUGC
RNAcentral lists this non-coding RNA (29 nucleotides) under Rattus norvegicus (Norway rat). Lineage: Eukaryota; Metazoa; Chordata; Mammalia; Rodentia; Muridae. The record is from RNAcentral.